CAAGUUUUAAAUUACUAAUUUGCCCUUAAGGCUGCAAAAACUCUCCCUUUAUAUAGUUUAUAGAUAGAUAUCGCUUGUACUACCUUUAUGCCACAGUUUUUGAUUCCAUGAAGGAAACGUUGUCUAAUUAAAAAAUGUCCCCCCUGAGAUUUUAUAUUUGCACCCAGACCCCCACUUACUCUCUCUCUCACACUCACAGUCACGCAGUCACGCUCUCAACCUCUCACUCACGAUUCACGCUCACCCGUCACCAGUCACCACGCCCUCACCCUCUCGCACGGCGCACCACCACCACCGACCACCAACCACCAGAUCAGCAGAGGCUCUGCGGCUCUACCCUAGGAAUUCUUCAGAUGCCUUGCUAUAUGCCAUACUGUGCUUCCCCAGGGGGAUGAGUCCCUUGAGAAGAUCUGCUAUCAAGCUGCAUCACCUGAUGAGUCUGCUUUGGUAAUUGCUGCGAAGAACUUCGGUUUUUUCUUUUACAGGUUCAGACUUCUUUACUAUGUUCUAGUUUUCUGUAUAAUGCUUGUAUCAUUGUGCCUCACCUAUCUUUAUGAAACAAAAUUUAUUCUAUCAUUUAAAAGGGUAUGUGUUUUAAAUGCCCUAUCCUCUGAAGCCUCUUAUUUGAGAAAAUUGGUAAAACUGUAGCCUCUUAUUUGCUGAGUAUCUCUAGAGAUGCCCCUGUAGAUGCUUUGGAUCUGCGCUGCACAGAGAAUUUUCCUCUGUUUGAGCAUUGCUUUCUCAAGAUGGGACUCCACAAUCAUGUCUUUUUUACAGUUUGAAGGGAAAACGGAUUCAUUGUGGUUCUUUUAGUACUUUAAUCCUUUGUACUACUUGUUGUUUUUUCUUUACUUAUUUCUUUACUGUUGUUAUCUCUUGUACUAGCCUUGUGCUCAUAUCAAUUAAAUUUGGCUUAUAAAAAAAAUGAGCUUCUCGUCUGGUUCAAGUGUUCAAGAUUUGGUAAAUUUGUCAAAUGAGUUUGUAAUACUUUGAACUGAUUGAGUUGUAUAAUUUUUGAGUUGUAGUAUGAUUGAAUUGUAUAAUUUUUUAGUUGUAAUCUGAUUGAGUUGUAUAA
Molecule: long non-coding RNA, 1075 nt
Organism: Lotus japonicus
Lineage: Eukaryota; Viridiplantae; Streptophyta; Magnoliopsida; Fabales; Fabaceae
Exons: 2
Source: RefSeq, a predicted model, not a curated record